This 801-nucleotide ribosomal RNA is filed under the name Bacillus subtilis. RNAcentral's name for it is "bacterial SSU rRNA". It matches the Rfam family "Bacterial small subunit ribosomal RNA", at positions 94 to 878 of the family's 1533-position model. Lineage: Bacteria; Bacillati; Bacillota; Bacilli; Caryophanales; Bacillaceae. The record is from RNAcentral.
AGCGGCGGACGGGUGAGUAACACGUGGGUAACCUGCCUGUAAGACUGGGAUAACUCCGGGAAACCGGGGCUAAUACCGGAUGGUUGUUUGAACCGCAUGGUUCAAACAUAAAAGGUGGCUUCGGCUACCACUUACAGAUGGACCCGCGGCGCAUUAGCUAGUUGGUGAGGUAACGGCUCACCAAGGCAACGAUGCGUAGCCGACCUGAGAGGGUGAUCGGCCACACUGGGACUGAGACACGGCCCAGACUCCUACGGGAGGCAGCAGUAGGGAAUCUUCCGCAAUGGACGAAAGUCUGACGGAGCAACGCCGCGUGAGUGAUGAAGGUUUUCGGAUCGUAAAGCUCUGUUGUUAGGGAAGAACAAGUACCGUUCGAAUAGGGCGGUACCUUGACGGUACCUAACCAGAAAGCCACGGCUAACUACGUGCCAGCAGCCGCGGUAAUACGUAGGUGGCAAGCGUUGUCCGGAAUUAUUGGGCGUAAAGGGCUCGCAGGCGGUUUCUUAAGUCUGAUGUGAAAGCCCCCGGCUCAACCGGGGAGGGUCAUUGGAAACUGGGGAACUUGAGUGCAGAAGAGGAGAGUGGAAUUCCACGUGUAGCGGUGAAAUGCGUAGAGAUGUGGAGGAACACCAGUGGCGAAGGCGACUCUCUGGUCUGUAACUGACGCUGAGGAGCGAAAGCGUGGGGAGCGAACAGGAUUAGAUACCCUGGUAGUCCACGCCGUAAAACGAUGAGUGCUAAGUGUUAGGGGGUUUCCGCCCCUUAGUGCUGCAGCUAACGCAUUAAGCACUCCGCCUGGGG